GGAUAUGUUGAGUGGCAUUUGGAUAAUAGACCUGUUGCUGAGGGACUACACAAAAAAUGCACAGAAAUUCUGACACAACUCAGAAAAGACCCCUUUUCAGCUCCACAUAGAACGUUUUUGGAUGAAUUGGAAGUAAUAAUAGAAAAAGAUUUCAAAAAUUUAGGAAAAAAACCAGAAAAAAAGAGAAAAGAUGAGUGAGAGAAGAAAAAGAAAA
Molecule: non-coding RNA, 214 nt
Filed under: Paramoeba aestuarina
Lineage: Eukaryota; Discosea; Flabellinia; Dactylopodida; Paramoebidae
Source: RNAcentral